CCUACGUGUGGCAGCAGUGAGGAAUAUUGGUCAAUGGGCGCGAGCCUGAACCAGCCAAGUCGCGUGAGGGAUGAAGGUUCUAUGGAUCGUAAACCUCUUUUAUAAGGGAAUAAAGUGUGGGACGUGUCCUAUUUUGUAUGUACCUUAUGAAUAAGGAUCGGCUAACUCCGUGCCAGCAGCCGCGGUAAUAAGGAGGAUCCGAGCGUUAUCCGGAUUUAUUGGGUUUAAAGGGUGCGUAGGCGGCCUUUUAAGUCAGCGGUGAAAGUCUGUGGAUCAACCAUGGCAUUGCCGUUGAAACUGGGGGGCUUGAGUAUGUUUGAGGCAGGCGGAAUGCGUGGUGUAGCGGUGAAAUGCAUAGAUAUCGCGCAGAACCCCGAUUGCGAAGGCAGCCUGCCAAGCCAUGACUGACGCUGAUGCACGAAAGCGUGGGGAUCAAACAGGAUUAGAUACCCUAGUAGUC
Molecule: ribosomal RNA, 460 nt
Filed under: uncultured bacterium
Lineage: Bacteria
Description: partial 16S ribosomal RNA
Rfam family: Bacterial small subunit ribosomal RNA
Source: RNAcentral